AGGUUGCAAUCACAGCCACACAUCCCUUGUUGGGAUUUGGUCCCUCUACUUUCCCUCUUUUCAUUUUCUCUAUUUUAGAUGGUUGAUUGUUAUUUCCUCUUAUAGCUAAAAAUGGUCCCAUGGUCCCCUGCUGAUAGGCUACUAGAGCCAGCUAGUAGGCUGUCGAACGGCAGGAGGACAGUCAUCGGCCCGUGCGCUCACGGUUCCAGCCCACGGUAGGUUCCAUAACGCGAACGGUUCCUAGCCCACGAGAAGUGUCAUUACUUUUUUUCUCGUCACUUUGGCUGCAUCCUCUGACGUUUGCAUACUCCUCCCCAUCACUGGCUCGCCAUGGCUUCCAGCACUCUUCUCUGAUGGCUACCGCCCCAUCCCCGCCCUCCGGCGACCAACCUCUUCCCGAGACCCUCUGCCAAACGAGGAGGAGGACGACGAUGCGUUGCUGGCCUUCCGGCCUCCCAAUUUCGUCGUCACCACCGUUGCAUCCGUCACUCCCCUGGUCAGAUCCGGUGACAUUGAGCACGGGGUGCCUCCCUCCGAUGCCGUCGCGACCUCCCCCUUCUCCACCAAGAACACCUUCCGCGAUGGGAUCUAGCCGGUGACCUCGAGCUUGCCCAGAUGCGGCCAAGAUCCUCCGCUAGCGCGGGCUUGUGCUCUUCUUACUUCCGGUGCUCGUGGUCGCCACACUGGGCCCUUCUUCAGCUCUCUAGCUGGCAACUGAUCUCCCCCACCUCCACCUUCCUCUCACUGGUGCUAGCCUUGGCGCUCCACUUCGACGAAGACCAACCUCCCCAACUGGACGGCGUGCGGUGGCCACGCACGCCAUCUGCCCGUCGCCGUGUGCCCCGUCCUUGUGCGAUACGCCGUGUCCCUCCUUCGGCCCCUCUCUUUCUCUCCUCUCCUGCAAGCUCUCCCUCCCAUCAUGAUGCUCUCUUCCCCGCACCACCACCAGCCGGAGGUGGACGGGAUCCGACCGAGGAGGGGCUGCCUCGUUCGCACCACACGCGUCCGGAGCUCGACGAGUGGACGACGGCGUCUUAGGGAGGCCAGCCCAACUCUCCACAGCAGAGCAGCAGCAGCACCUCGUCCUCAGGGACUCCGGGUCCUCUACUCUGACGUUGGCAUCACCAUGCUCUGCUCCUACGAGUGCCUCGACAUCCGGGUGGUGCAUUUUGCACGCGAUCGAUGAUCCACUUCCUAGAAUUAGGUGCUGCCUUUUUCCCCAUUAAAUUGGUGGUUAGAUUCGUGAGGCCAGAGCUUCCUCGUUCGUGCCCCGCCGCCCCUCUGCUGUGUGCCGGGUGGGCUGCUCCGGCAGGCAUGAUGAGGUCCUCGACAGGGAAUGCGGCUGUUUGCUCGGAGAGCUUGGCGUCCUGAUGCUUGGCGUUCAUCCCAUCUCUAUUCUUCUUUAAUUUGCUGCUGCUCGUGAUGACCUUUCUUAUGUUUGUGUUAGUUUCCAUCUAAGAGCUGCUAUCUGUCGGGCUGAACACUUGGUUUCAUGAGAUACCGAUUUAGUCCAUCAUAAAAAAUACUUUUGUUAUUCAAUUAUGAAGCGUUCAUCUAAAAAAAGAUAUAUGAAGAAGUGUUAUGGAAUUCCAGUAAAGCUGGAGGCCUACAAACUGGCUUGUCUCCAUAUUCUGUUGCACACGCCCGUGUGGUUGGUAUCAUCAUGGGAUUUUUUUUCGAGCUCCAUCUUUGCUUCCAUGUACUAUGCAGUUAAUAUUUCUUAUGUGGAUUUGGUAGCUCUAGAGCGAGAUGGUUGGAGUUGGCGAACAAUUUCAUUGUGCAAAUUUCAAUUAAAGAAACUUAAUUAGCAUGCUUUCUUUAGUGUGUGUAUUUUAGGUAUAGCUGCUUCUGUCUUUACUCUUUACAUGUCAAGAAAUUUUGACAAAAUUCAUACAUUUUAUUUUAGUUAGAAUAAAUUCAAGGAGAGAGCUUUAGUGUAUAAGUAACAAUUAUGUAAAUAUUCAUACUACUUGUUCCUAGCUUGGCGUUCUGUAUUGAAUUUUGUGACUGAAUAUCUAGGCUUAGAGCUCUGCAAAAUAUAUGCUUAGCGUUUAUGCAUUUUGCAUAUCACCUAUCGUAAAGUAGCCAUUAUCUUUUUACAACGCUCUCAUACAGUACAAGAAAAAAGGAACAUUGGUUUCACAUGGUCGGGUAGUUAGCAAAGACAUUCCGCGUCGAGCUUGGGUGCAGAGGUGAUCUGUCCUUUUAUCUUUUGGUGGCCGCUUCGGUGGUGUCGAAGGAAAGGGACUUUGCAUAUGAUUUUCCAAUCUUUUUAGUCAUGUAUGGUCGGUGCUUACGUGCCUUGUAACUUAAUCUUCAUUCUAUAUAAAUGAGACACAUAUUACCAUGCAAAAAAAGACAUUCCUAUUUACUCGGACCUACAAGCUAGAAAAUGCUAAAAAAACUUAGCUUAGCAACAUUAGGGCAACUCAACGUCGUGCACCAAACCGCCCCAAAACUUCUGGACUGUAUCCAACGCCAAGGCAAAAGAUAGAUGCGUUCGAAUUCCCACAAAUAGGAAGCAGAGCUGGGGUGGAUGGUAGGCAUUCGGACCUCCGCCAAUGUGUUUGGUUUAAUGAUAGACUGAUUAAACCGGUGAACGCCUCCCGUGUCCCAUGGGCGGCCCGGGAGAUACCCUAGGGGCCGCUGCCCAACACUCCCCCCCCCAUUGCCGCCGCCGAAGGGCGUCCUCGGGCAAAGCUCGCGUGGCGGCUGGGCCUGGUUCUCCCUUUCGUGAGGCGCUUGAGCGGCGUGGGCCUGCUCAGCUGAGCGGUGGCAUUGUCGAGCUAGCAGCGACAAGGGGCGGCUUCGUCGGGCUAGCGGCAGGAGGGACGGCGUGGUCGCGUGGGCCACGACGGAGACACGAGGGGGCAGUGCACGCAGAUCCUUCAGAGGCGAAGCUACGCUGACCUCGGUGCGGGAGACUAAGUUCUGGCACGGAUCUUCAUGUGUUUCUGCAUGGCUUCUGCGGUGAGGGUUGAGUCGACAUUCGUCUACAGCGUAGUCGGAGUUGCUAGCUCAGAGAUUAGGGGCAUCGAUGACAUGUGCUUGGGGAGAGGUGAUGACGAUGACAUGUGUGCGCUAGCUCGACAAGGCACUCUUUGUAAAGGUGUGUGUUGGGUAUCUUGUGUGUGUCGUUCAGUGGAUUGUGACAGUUUUCGCUCGGUUUUCUGUUAAUUAACAGGGCAAUUCUCUUCUGAUUA
This is a long non-coding RNA of Triticum urartu, 3203 nucleotides long. RefSeq lists it as uncharacterized. Lineage: Eukaryota; Viridiplantae; Streptophyta; Magnoliopsida; Poales; Poaceae. The record is from RefSeq and is a predicted model, not a curated record.